Molecule: ribosomal RNA, 406 nt
Filed under: uncultured bacterium
Lineage: Bacteria
Description: partial 16S ribosomal RNA
Rfam family: Bacterial small subunit ribosomal RNA
Source: RNAcentral
AUUGAACGCUGGUGGCAGGCCUAACACAUGCAAGUCGAACGAGUGGCGGACGGGUGAGUAAUGUCUGGGAAACUGCCCGAUGGAGGGGGAUAACUACUGGAAACCGUAGCUAAUACCGCUAACCAUCGGUUGUGCCCAGAUGGGAUUAGCUAGUAGGUGGGGUAACGGCUCACCUAGGCGACGAUCCCUAGCUGGUCUGAGAGGCUGACGAGCCACACUGGAACUGAGACACGGUCCAGACUCCUACGGGAGGCAGCAGUGGGGAAUAUUGCACAAUGGGCGAAAGCCUGAUGCAGCCAUGCCGCGUGUAUGAAGAAGGCCUUCGGGUUGUAAAGUACUUUCAGCGAGGAGGCGUUACUCGCAGAAGAAGCACCGGCUAACUCCGUGCCAGCAGCCGCGGUAAUUC